RNAcentral lists this transfer RNA (96 nucleotides) under Coemansia sp. RSA 2131. RNAcentral's name for it is "tRNA-Arg". It matches the Rfam family "tRNA". From Rfam's summary of the family: Transfer RNA (tRNA) molecules are approximately 80 nucleotides in length. Their secondary structure includes four short double-helical elements and three loops (D, anti-codon, and T loops). Further hydrogen bonds mediate the characteristic L-shaped molecular structure. tRNAs have two regions of fundamental functional importance: the anti-codon, which is responsible for specific mRNA codon recognition, and the 3' end, to which the tRNAs corresponding amino acid is attached (by aminoacyl-tRNA synthetases). tRNAs cope with the degeneracy of the genetic code in two manners: having more than one tRNA (with a specific anti-codon) for a particular amino acid; and 'wobble' base-pairing, i.e. permitting non-standard base-pairing at the 3rd anti-codon position. The record is from RNAcentral. Lineage: Eukaryota; Fungi; Kickxellomycota; Kickxellomycetes; Kickxellales; Kickxellaceae.
GCCCGACUGGCGCAACUGGAUAGCGCAUGUGACUUCUAAGGGCUGUAAUUGCCCAUUGACAUCACAAGGUUGCGGGUUCAAUCCCCGCGUCGGGUU